UUGGAGGGCAAGUCUGGUGCCAGCAGCCGCGGUAAUUCCAGCUCCAAUAGCGUAUAUUAAAGUUGUUGCAGUUAAAAAGCUCGUAGUUGAAUUUCGGGGUCAGCAGGUUGGUCGUGCCACUGGUAUGAACUGGCCUUGCUGAUUCCUCCUUCUUGAAGAACCGUGAUGCCAUUAAUUUGGUGUUGCGGGGAAACAGGACUGUUACUUUGAAAAAAUUAGAGUGUUUAAAGCAGGCUCACGCUUGAAUACAUUAGCAUGGAAUAAUAAAAUAGGACGUUUAUCCUAUUUUGUUGGUUUCUAGGGUUGACGUAAUGAUUAAUAGGGAUAGUUGGGGGCAUUAGUAUUCAAUUGUCAGAGGUGAAAUUCUUGGAUUUAUUGAAGACUAACUACUGCGAAAGCAUUUGCCAAGGAUGUUUUCAUUAAUCAAGAACGAAAGUUAGGGGAUCGAAGACGAUCAGAUACCGUCGUAGUCUUAACCAUAAACUAUGCCGACUAGGGAUCGGAUGAUGUUAAUUUUUUAAUGACUCAUUCGGCGCCUUACGGGAAAC
This 548-nucleotide ribosomal RNA is filed under the name uncultured Glomus. Its description in RNAcentral is "SSU rRNA". It matches the Rfam family "Eukaryotic small subunit ribosomal RNA", at positions 548 to 1098 of the family's 1831-position model. Lineage: Eukaryota; Fungi; Glomeromycota; Glomeromycetes; Glomerales; Glomeraceae. The record is from RNAcentral.